Molecule: ribosomal RNA, 497 nt
Filed under: uncultured bacterium
Lineage: Bacteria
Description: partial 16S ribosomal RNA
Rfam family: Bacterial small subunit ribosomal RNA
Source: RNAcentral
GAUGAACGCUGGCGGCGUGCCUAAUACAUGCAAGUCGAGCGAACAGACGAGGAGCUUGCUCCUUUGACGUUAGCGGCGGACGUGUGAGUAACACGUGGAUAACCUACCUAUAAUUCUGGGAUAACUUCGAGAAACCGGAUCUUAUACCGGAUAACAUGUUGAACCGUAUGGUUCAACAGUGAAAUACGGUCUUUCUGUCUCUUCUAGAUGGAUCUGCGCUGCAUUAGCUAGUUGGUAAGGUAACGGCUUACCACGGCAAGGAUGCGUAGCCGACCUGGGAGGGUGAUAGGCGACAUUGGAACUGAGACACGGUCCAGGCUCCUACGGGAGGCAGCAGUAGGGAAUCUUCCGCAAUAGGCGGAAACCUGACGGAGCAACGGGGCGUGUGAGAAGAAGAUCUUCGGAUCGUAAAACUCUGUUAUUAGGGAAAAACAAAUGUGUAAGGAACUAUGCACGGAUUGACGGUACCGGAUCAGAAAGCCACGGCUAACUACGUG